Molecule: long non-coding RNA, 621 nt
Organism: Cataglyphis hispanica
Lineage: Eukaryota; Metazoa; Arthropoda; Insecta; Hymenoptera; Formicidae
Exons: 3
Source: RefSeq, a predicted model, not a curated record
UCAAAUUAAAUCAAAGUUACCAAUAUUGUUAUUAGCAAUAUAGUUAUUUAACAACCGUAAAACAUGAAAAUAAUUUCAUUUUUACUUCAACUAUUCCUUAAUUUGAUUUUAUUAAAAUUGAUUAUGUUUAAUGUAAUUUUUUCUGAAGUCAGUCCUAUCUUUGAUCCUGAAGAUUUAUUUCCUUAUUGGAUUUACGGAGAUAUACAUAAAGCUAAAGGAGAAUAAAAAGUAUAGUUCAAAAGACUCCAAACUAAAUCAAAGUUAGCAAUUGUAAUAGUUAUUUGACAAUCAGAAAACAUGAAGAUAAUUUCAUUUUUACUCCAAUUGUUCCUGCAUUGCAUCGUAUUAGCAUUGAUUAUGUCUAAUGGAGUUAUUGCUGAACCCGUGCCUGAACCCAAUCCUAUGGCUGAGCCUAAACCAUUUUUCGAGAUCUUAUCUAUAAUUUCACAGCAAAUAAAAGAAAGCCAACAAAAGGCGAAAGGACAAUAAAAAAAUGUUAUAUAUAAUGCCUUUUCUCGGUCUGUCAAAAUGUAUAAGUAAAGGCACAGGCUACAAAACCGAAGAAAAAUUUUUUUUCAACAAUUUUGUAAUAAAUACAUCUUAAUAUAGUCUUAAGAAAAU